ACAAGCGGAGGAACAUGUGGUUUUAAUUCGAUGAUACGCGAGGAACCUUACCCGGGCUUGAAAUAGCAUCUGACCGGCCUUGAAAGAGGCACUCCCUUCGGGGCAGAUGUGUAGGUGCUGCAUGGUUGUCGUCAGCUCGUGCCGUGAGGGUGUCGGCUUAAGUGCCAUAACGAGCGCAACCCUCAUCAUUAGUUACCAUCAGGUAAGGCUGGGGACUCUAAUGAGACUGCCAUCGUAAGAUGUGAGGAAGGUGGGGAUGACGUCAAAUCAGCACGGCCCUUACGUCCGGGGCGACACACGUGUUACAAUGGGUGGUACAAAGGGCAGCUACCUGGCGACAGGAUGCUAAUCUCGAAAACCGCUCUCAGUUCGGAUCGGAGUCUGCAACUCGACUCCGUGAAGCUGGAUUCGCUAGUAAUCGCGCAUCAGCCACGGCGCGGUGAAUACGUUCCCGGGCCUU
RNAcentral lists this ribosomal RNA (460 nucleotides) under uncultured Proteiniphilum sp. RNAcentral describes it as "bacterial SSU rRNA". It matches the Rfam family "Bacterial small subunit ribosomal RNA", at positions 925 to 1382 of the family's 1533-position model. Lineage: Bacteria; Pseudomonadati; Bacteroidota; Bacteroidia; Bacteroidales; Dysgonomonadaceae. The record is from RNAcentral.